RNAcentral lists this long non-coding RNA (1698 nucleotides) under Olea europaea subsp. europaea. The record is from RNAcentral. Lineage: Eukaryota; Viridiplantae; Streptophyta; Magnoliopsida; Lamiales; Oleaceae.
CAAUGUUCUAAUAUUCUCUGUUUGAAUUUUCCCAAGAUGGAUUAUCAUCUAGACGCAGAGUAGAAACGGAUGGAGGGCAAAGUUACGUUGAACAGUAGCUUUGACAGUUUUACCAUUGUACUGGAGCUGCUUGAUGAUCAAUAUACAGAUAUGUUGCGUCAGUUCUUUUUGUGGCUCAUGUACCAGUUGAGAGACUUGUAGUACUCGGGUUAAAUCAUCGAUGCUCUUCUAUGUCGGUUGCUCAAUCCAGUUGACGACGAUGUCGUCCACUUUGACAUUGGGGGCAAAGUCGCCAAUUUUUUCAUGUUCGAGUUUGCCCUGCUCACUGGAUUGCAGAUUAUGAGUGAUGACGCAACAAGUGACGGGACUCAAAGAAGAAAUAAGUUGCAGGACGCUUACUUCCACGGCUAGGAGACGGUGGUUCUGCCUUAGUUGAUCGACGCAAUCAGGAUGUGUGACGAGAUGUUAGACAAACUAAAAUUAUGUCUGGUCUACAUCCUUGAGAGCGUGGUAUGGUGUCACCACAAGAAGAUUGAGAUCGACCUCUUCCACCUGGAGAUCGUCAACGAUAUUGAUCGUUUCAAUAACUAUCCAUGAGGCCGAAAAUAUUUCGAGGACACCAUACACGUUUUCACCAGAUCGCACUCGAAGCCCAAGGGGCCCGUACGUAAGUACGACACCUACGGAUUGCCCCUGGAGGUGUAGAUAAAUGAUUAACAUAAUCAAUGUUAAAAUAUUUUUCUAUUGAAUUUUGUAUGUAGUAAUUUAUAUUUUGCAGAUCUGGGCAUACGAGACUGUCCCCCCAUUGGGUACCGCUUUGUGCGGUGAGGGAAGACACGCUGCUCUCGGAUGCACCAUUGGUGAGAAUCUCGAGCGGAGGGAUGUCCCACUUGGAAACAAUUAUCGGCUUUCCUCGACGACCCUCAUGUUAGUAUUAUACAUUUGUGUUUUAUAUUGUACAUAGUUUAAAAUCUCAUUAAAUGAUUGUUAAUGAUUUGAAAUGUUAAUAUGUCAGCUUGAAAUAAUAACUUAUUUGACACCAUCGAUGGAGGGGGAGGCCCAGGGUCCUAUGCGUGAAUUAGGCAUUCCGCACACCUAAGACGAUCAGAUGUUCGAUUCGAUCAACGAUCGAGACUGAGUAAGUGAAUUAUUGAUUACUAUUUUGUAUCAGUUAGCAAUUAUUGAUUAAGUUAAUAAUUUGUAAGGUUGUUUGUGUAGGACCGUGAUCCAGUUGAUCGGGCAUCACCUCCGCCGCAGGCAUCACUUUUUCCCCCUCAGAGUCAUUAUUUUGAUGAUCUGUAUGCUCACCUGAUUGGAUUUAUAGUGCAGGAGAUCGGCGCGCUGCGUCAAGAGCUGAUAAUAGUUAUAUUUGAGGAGGUUGGCGUGCUGCGUCGAGAGAUGGUAGAGAAGAUCGAUUAUCUAGGAUGCGAGUUAGUAGGGAGGGUCGAAGAUAUAUCCGAUGAUGUUAGAUUACUACGUGGCCAUUUAUGGGACCUUCAAGAGAUUACAGCACUCCGAGGUGAUAUAGUCGGUAAACGAUGGGGUGACGAAGGUGGCGACCGGGGUAGUAAUCGAGAGGAGGAUAGAAAUGGGGUCACCAGCAGUCGUGGUUAGAGGAUAUAUUGGAAUCCUUUUUAAAGUCCAUAGAGUGGGAGCGGAUGACCUCGUUGGGGACGAGGGCGAUGAUGGAUGGGGAGG